CGCCGGCCGCCUCCCCGCGCCCCGGCUUCUUGCCCCGCCGCCGGCCGCCUCCCCGCGCUCCGGCCAACGGCUAGAUCCAUCCGCCACGUUCCUGCGGCGCCCGCAGCCACGGCGCCCGGACCCCAUCUCCACCUAACCCCGGCGACCCCAACUAGGCGCUCCCAGCCCCAGCGCCACCGACCCCUGCACUACGUCGUCCCAUCUCCUCGACACCGGCGGUUGUGCCAAACUGCACCGCUGUGGCCAGCUCUCCUGCAACCGGCGGCGACUCUCCCUUCCUCCAGCGCGACCAUCCGCCCUAGGUCGAGCAAGUUCAGAAAUUGCAGCGCCCUGUAGUUCGUGUUUUGCAGGAAUGAGUGAGUGCCUUCAUCCAAGACACGAGCGACGAUUCGGCCUUGGCAUCACAAACUGGUUCAGUUCGAUCUCGCACGAGCGGGCAGGUCCUCGAUGGCGUGUGCAUCAGUUCCACCCUACGGUCGAAGGUGAGCGUACUCCUGGCCGCCUUCCCGCCGACGGGCACGUUCCUCCAAUUGGUUGUCUUGCUUCCUCCUGCUUCUCUGCCAGCUAACAUCAGCUUAAUUCUUCUACUAGAAAAAAGGUGUGUGAAUACAAGAGGAUUGCAGUGAUAAAUUUUGGGCUGGGAUUUUUCUCUCUAAUAGAUCUUCUCUGACAUGCGGCUGCUGCAGCCACAGAAGCAUCGGCACCCUUGAUGGUGUACAGUUGCUGAAUCCCUGUGUGUCACCCAACUAAUGCUGCUUCCUGGCAUUUAGACAUGGUGCUACUGCUGCUGAUGCGUGCGUUGGCUCUUGCCACCAGUACUGCUGCUGCUGAUGUGUGUCGCUAUUGGUCCGCUGCUGCUGAUGUACUUCCGCUCUUGUACUGACAGUUCAUGAAUUUAGGAAGCUGCAACCUUUGACAUUAUUCUGUACUGAGAUUUUGGUGCGAGAACAAGAACGUCGAGAGCAUGUGCAUGAACAAGUAGUUGUGCAUGGGUAGAAUUUAUUGAGGAUUCUAGAGAGCUGGGUUCAGCGAAAACGUUUACCUCAGUUCAGACUCAAGAGUUGCUGGUUUCGGUAUUUCUUUACCUUCAUGUGCAGUAACAAAGUGUGUGCAUUUGGUGGUUUUGUGAAGGAGUUAAGCUUUUAUUUGAUUUUCAGUUCGGGUUUAUAAAUGGAAUAAAUUUAUGUAGAAUUCAAGGGACUUUGAUUAGAUUUGUACUGUUUGUUCAUGGAAAAGGAAUCUGCUCUUCUCUUUGUUGAAAUUACAAUAUGUAGUUUUGCUCUCAGCAUUGCAAUUCCACAUGUUUGUUAUAUUAAUUAUUAGUUUGUGUAUCUAGCCGACUGUGUUGUGUAUUCUGGUCAGUUCAUGUGUGUAUUGUGUUGCCCUCGAGCUAUAUGAGAGGCCGCCUGCGGAGCUGAGGAAGUCGCCGAUCUGGUCGAGGCAUGCUCUUAUUCUCUAUUUUCAGUAGCACAAAAAAUUGAAAGUUCAAACGACAGACCUUGGUAAGUUCUCCUUGGCAAAACAUCAUCUCUCAUAUUUGUUCCUACUUUUGUAGGUUGCAGCUAUGUUUAUAAAGCGGUAAAGCGAAGCGAGGCGCUUGGGGGGCGCCUCACUGCUUAAGCGAUAAAGCGUAAAGCGAGGCGACGCUUUAGACAGACUCUGAACCUGAUGGGCAGUAUAAUAGAGCACCAUUUAGUGAGACAUAUAUAUGUUGAUUCUAAUCCACCAGUGAGCCCAUAUAUUCUGAUCCAUCCACUAAGCAGUAAGCAACUAGCCAAUUGCUAUAAGAGAGGCAGUAGCACCUAACAGCAGAGGAGUUGUGCAUAGCAUAACACACAACAGAGCAGAAAAGGCUGGUGCAGAUCUGAGGAAGCUGCUGCCAGAGGAGAGAGGAAAGAGCUGAAAGCCUGGAUAUUUGCACGCUUUGGUUUUGGUUCUCUCUCUUUCUUUCCCCUCCUGUAACUGUUUCAAAUGUGAGCCCAGCCCUGUUUCCCUGCCAGGAAUCUCUGUACCCUGCCUGGCAAGUCUAAGGCGUCCUCUCUGCCUUAAAGCGCCAAUCAGGACGCCUAAGCAGGCGCUUCAGACGCUUUAGUGUCUAAGGCGGACGCCUUAGACACAUGUCUAAAGCGAGUUGGACGCUUUGAGCCUGGAGGGCGCUCUAACGCUUAAGCGUCGCUUAAGCGACGCUUUAGGGACGCUUUACAAACAGAGGGUUGCAGCAAAAACAAGAUGCACAAGUUCAUUUUUUUGUAUGCUUUUCAGUACAUCUACUUCUUGACGGUGAGUCAUAUUUCCUUUGUGUUUCCAUCUUCAUAUAUAGCACAAACAAGUGCUUGUGGUUAUGCUUCAGAAUGAGCACCGUACUGCCUCUUGGUUCAGUUCAAUAUAUAAUUUGUGUUGUCGCCGGGAUGGAAUUAGGUGUGGUGUACCAUCAGUCACUACUGUUGAUUUAACCAGUUUGGUAUUACAUGAUAGUGGGCAUCUCAAAAGUAUUUUUAUGUUUGAUGCAUGGCUUAUCUUGAUACUAGGCAUCAUGCCACUUUAUAAAAGACAUUUCAGGGAUCAGACCAUUCUACAGCCUAAAUAUUAAACUACACGCCACGAAAUUAGUACCUUUGUGCUUGCUAGGUGUUUGCAUAUGUCUCUAAGAACCAAACAAUACUAGUAACAUCCUAUAUAGGGCCGUGAGUGUGCUAUUAAGUUUGUUGAUAUGUUUCUUAAGGACAAAAAUAGAAAAAUUGCAUCCUUUCAGUUCAUCUUGGGGGUCAAGGACAAGUAAAUUUAGUGUCAUUGCUAAAAUGUAGGCGCUCGCCACUGUCAUCUCCGACCGGAUCCAGCCUGGCUCCCCCUGGUUGCUAACACGGCUUGUGCUGCUAUGGUGCUAGUGUGGAUGGGUAACAAGUUCAACUACGAGUCCAGACCAAGUUCUGGUAUGUUGCAUGCUUCCCACACAUUCCCUAGGAAAAAUACUUCUUAGCAUUCUACAGUUCUUUAGUUCAUUCAGAGAUAGGACUUGAUCUUAUCCAUGGAAACAGAGUAGAGAUAAAACAUUAGGGUGGCGAAGUUGACCUGCCCAAGACCAAAACCGUAUUCAUAAUACUGAACUAGAGUAUACGAUAAAAAAUUAGUCAAUAUGUUCAUCUUUUACAAACACGUACAUGCUCAAAAUUCUCCUUUGCAUGUUAUCUCAAAGACAACUAAGCAAAACUGAAAUUGACUGAUCAAGCCAUGGCACUAAAUUUCAGAUAUGACACAAAAUGGUAGAAGAAAUGUAAGUGACAUGCCAAGUCUGAAGGUGGUAAAUUUUGUAGUUAUCUGGUUAGUAGUUUACGCUUUCUUAAAUCUUCAGUUCUCUGGUUAGAUAAAUAAUUGUCAUCUUUGCAGAAAUGCUGGCAGUCUACAAAUUCUAUUAUUGGUAGUAGCUGUUCAAUGUAUAUAUUAGAAGAAGUAAAAAAGGAAAACAGUGGUGCCGUGCAUGAGGACAUGAGUUGGCACCACACAAAGCAGCAAAUAAUGUUGGUGGAGGCCAUUCUGUAGGCUGCCUUCAGUGCUCGUGCCACGGCAUUCACCGCCACCACUCCAGACCAUUCACCAUCGCCUCACGAGUCCGUUCAACAACGGAGGGGGUGUCGCGCUGUGGGUGGACGUGGUGUUGCACUGGAGUCCUCGAUAGUUAGGGCUCCUUCAUAGAGGAGCACAGGCGGCGGCUGGCAAAAAUGCAUGACACAGCGCUCCACCGGCCUUCCUCCUCUCGCUGGGAGGCUGUCAGCCUGUUGUUGACUCCUGUGUGCGUUUAGGGGCUGCACGCCCAAGCCGUUCACCUCCGCCACCGUAGGCCGUUCAAUGAUGCAACCAUAGACCAUUCACCUCCGACCCCCAAUGUCGCACCAGAUCGAUGCACCCUUCAGUUCACCUUGUAGGCCUUUUCAGUUAACCUCGUAGGCUUUUUCGGGUUCACCUUGUAGGUUUGUAUGCUUUUUUCAGUUCAUCUUGUAUUGUAAUUUGCUGCCCAAUUUGCUGUUGCUAAAUGUUGUUAUAUGCUGACUACUAUAUAUUGACAUAAAAACUCAAAAUAGUUCAGACCAAAAAAACAAGUUCAGAGAAGCCAACUUGACAAGUCCACCUUAUAAUUUGUAUACUUUGUGGUUGUACUGCUGUAGUGUUUGCAUAAGCUCUGACAGGUUUGGGGCUUCACUCUGUUAAGAUUCAGGAGAUAAAUUUCCUAUUGUGGGAAGAAAUGUUGCGAUAUCAUCAUCAUAAUUAACUAUCAUCUAUUUUAUUUCCUGAAAAGACAAACUAGGUGUGUCAGUUCAGUAUGUAAACUAACAUCAGUACAUGGCCUCCUGCGCGGCGGGAUCCAUAGUUGGCCUCUUGCCAAGUUCUGCUGCAGGUUUGAAUCCCUUCAGUUCACUACGAUCUCUCCUAGUAAGUUCAGUGUGUGUAAUGAUUUUUUUUUCCGUAAAAUGCGGCAGUGGGCUGUGUAUUCUGCCAACAGCCCCGCAGUGGCAUCAGUUAUGCUUUGUGCUCAGUAUGAAAUUAAACACGCUCUGUAUUAGAAGUUCAUGAGAAGGAUUUGUUGAAUUGGCAGUGUACUUUAUCCAAACAACUAUAAAAGAGGGAUUAUUGGCAUGUAGAAACACGAUCUCAUGUACACAUGUUUGGCCUUCUAAAAGCUCUAAGAGCAGCACCAUCAGUUAAUGAAUUAACUAGGCACCAAUAGGUAAUCAUGGUAGAUAGUUUCAAGUGAAAUGGCCGCCAUUUCAAGAAAGAAUAGUUCAUCAAGGGUGGGGAGGAAGCUAUAUCUUCCCUAGGAACGUUUUUAUUCAAAAAGCUAGUGCAUGCCAUGACCACUAAUUCUUACGUAUUGUCCUGUUAACCCAGAAAAUUAGCAAAACUAAGUUUUGAAUUUGCUUAAUUUCCAUCGAGUUACUCAAAGUUUUAUGUCUUAUGCUUUGUUGCUGCAGCGCCCCGGCCAUUCACAGCCACCAGCUCGGGCCGAUCAACAACAUAGCGCUAAACUGUUCUACGCCAUAGCUCAGGAGGUGAAGGAGCUCCCCUUUGGUUCAUCUUGUAGGUUUGUUUCGGCAGUACAAACACUUUGCCAUUGUGAGUACAGAUGUUUAUCGCCAUGUUCCAUGGUUUUUGUUUUCUUAUAUACUGCUGCUCCAUUCUAUUCCAUACUUAUAUGAGAAUAAUUGAUGGUCUAUAGGUGCUUGUUGAAAUGCUUAUGAGAACCAAUUUUUGUUGUU
Long non-coding RNA from Triticum dicoccoides, 5249 nucleotides. RefSeq lists it as uncharacterized. NCBI's taxonomy places the organism in Eukaryota, Viridiplantae, Streptophyta, Magnoliopsida, Poales, Poaceae. The record is from RefSeq and is a predicted model, not a curated record. The transcript is spliced from 3 exons.